This 835-nucleotide ribosomal RNA is filed under the name uncultured marine bacterium. Its description in RNAcentral is "bacterial SSU rRNA". It matches the Rfam family "Bacterial small subunit ribosomal RNA", at positions 481 to 1323 of the family's 1533-position model. The record is from RNAcentral.
GAGGAAUAAGCAUCGGCUAACUCCGUGCCAGCAGCCGCGGUAAUACGGGGGAUGCAAGCGUUAUCCGGAAUCAUUGGGCGUAAAGCGCCUGUAGGUUGUUUAAUAAGUCUGUUGUUAAAGACUAGGACUUAACCCUAGAAAAGCAAUGGAAACUACUAGACUAGAGUAUGGCAGGGGUAGAGGGAAUUUCUAGUGUAGCGGUGAAAUGCGUAGAUAUUAGAAAGAACACCGGUGGCGAAAGCGCUCUACUGGACCAUUACUGACACUCAGAGGCGAAAGCUAGGGUAGCAAAAGGGAUUAGAUACCCCUGUAGUCCUAGCCGUAAACGAUGGAUACUACAUGUUGUGCAUUAUGUACAGUAUGGUAGCUAACGCGUUAAGUAUCCCGCCUGGGGAGUACGCUCGCAAGGGUGAAACUCAAAGGAAUUGACGGGGGCCCGCACAAGCGGUGGAGCAUGUGGUUUAAUUCGAUGCAACGGGAAGAACCUUACCAGGACUUGACAUACUACAAAUUCUUUUGAGAAAAAGAAGUGCCUUCGGGAAUGUAGAUACAGGUGGUGCAUGGCUGUCGUCAGCUCGUGUCGUGAGAUGUUGGGUUAAGUCCCGCAACGAGCGCAACCCUUAUUUUUAGUUACCAAUUCGUUGGGUUCUCUAGAAAGACUGCCGGUGACAAACCGGAGGAAGGUGAGGAUGACGUCAAGUCAGCAUGCCCCCUUAUGUCCUGGGCUACACACGUGCUACAAUGGUUAAGACAAAGAGUCGCGAGCUCGUGAGAGUCAGCUAAUCUCAUAAACUUAGCCCAAGUUCAGAUUGUAGGCUGCAACUCGCCUACGUGA